RNAcentral lists this long non-coding RNA (1315 nucleotides) under Equus asinus (donkey). Its description in RNAcentral is "lncRNA (ENSEASG00005031018.1)". The record is from RNAcentral. Lineage: Eukaryota; Metazoa; Chordata; Mammalia; Perissodactyla; Equidae.
UAAAAACUCAUUGGAUGCAUUUAACAGCAGACAGGACGCAGCAGAAGUCUAGCUGGUGAACCAGAAGACAUGUGAAUAGAAAGAACCAUAUUGAACAACAGAUAGAAGAAAGAAUGGACAAAGCAUAAGAGACAUGUAGAAUGUAGACAAAGCAUCUAACAUUCGUGUAAUUGGUAUCCCAGAAAGCAAGAAAGUGAAGAAUGAGAAAGAAGAAAUACAUAUUGUCAAAGUCCUUACCAAUACCAGCAGAAGAUAUAUUACACUUGGGUGUUCACACCCUCGUCAUUACAUUUACUGAUUACGUGCAACAUUGGGCAAAUUCUAUACCUCCUCUGAUCUUCCUUUUUCUUUGCCUGUAAAAUUGAACCAAUAAUAUUAAUUCCUCAGAACUUUCAUAGUAUCAUCCAUAUAUGAUGAAAGUACAUAAGUACACGGACCGAGUCCAUUUGGAAAAUGCUCAUUAUAUGGGAGGCUGUGGACGCUGGGACAAAAACAUCUCAGACGCUGUUCUCAGGGAGCUCACAGUCAAGUGAGGAAGACAAAUAAUUAACAAGGCCGAAGCAAACACAUCUCAGUAGUCCAGGGGGCAUCACUAGUGAGAACUCAAAGGACAGAAAUUACUUGCAUCUCCACCAAACAAAAAUCUAUCAGCUAACCCCGCCCCAACAGAGCUGCAACUUAGCCCCAUCAAUGGAGAGCCAGUCUAAGGAGCACGCUGAGCGCCUCACUGAAGAGCACCCAGGCCUCGGGGUGCUUGCCAUUGCCAAGUUCUGAGCAAUUCUUCUCCAGCACGCUCUACCCUGGCCUGGGGCAAGUCCUCUCUUGUCCCUCUGCCUAGCCAGGUCCCUGCUCUAUCCAGCCUGUUUGAGACCCUCAUUAGCCCUUCUCUCUUUUAGAAACCUUCCAUCCAAACUGGAUGAACAGCUAUUUCAGCAACUCCCUAUGGCUUCGUCUCUUCGUUCACGGGAUGCCAUGUGGCAGGAACGUGGAGACGCUGAGCAUCAGCCAUGGAUCACGAUGCUCUCUGAAUGGGAAGGUGGCCGAGGGGCUCCAACAGCUCGUCACCAUGAGCCAUUCCAUUAUAGGCACUGUGUUGAAGCCCCAGCCACCGAGACCUGAGAGGUCCUAUUUUACUCUGGGUCAUGGGCAGAGAGGAGAAACAGCUGGAAAGAUAAAGCCAGAACUAGGAAAAUGGCCAUAGAAGACCACGGUGAAACUCAUCAAAUAGAACACUUAAAAUAUGUGUAUUUCAUGUUAUGCUAAUUAUUCUGGAUUAACCUGAAUUUUAAAAAUUAAAUUUGAAAAAGGAAACAAA